CAGCAGCCGCGGGAAAACGGAGGGUGCAAGCGUUAAUCGGAAUUACUGGGCGUAAAGCGCACGCAGGCGGUCUGUCAAGUCGGAUGUGAAAUCCCCGGGCUCAACCUGGGAACUGCAUCCGAAACUGGCAGGCUAGAGUCUUGUAGAGGGGGGUAGAAUUCCAGGUGUAGCGGUGAAAUGCGUAGAGAUCUGGAGGAAUACCGGUGGCGAAGGCGGCCCCCUGGACAAAGACUGACGCUCAGGUGCGAAAGCGUGGGGAGCAAACAGGAUUAGAUACCCCAGUAGUCCCUGUCUCUUAUAC
Molecule: ribosomal RNA, 301 nt
Filed under: uncultured bacterium
Lineage: Bacteria
Description: partial 16S ribosomal RNA
Rfam family: Bacterial small subunit ribosomal RNA
Source: RNAcentral